Molecule: ribosomal RNA, 803 nt
Filed under: uncultured Pelagibacteraceae bacterium
Lineage: Bacteria; Pseudomonadati; Pseudomonadota; Alphaproteobacteria; Candidatus Pelagibacterales; Candidatus Pelagibacteraceae
Description: bacterial SSU rRNA
Rfam family: Bacterial small subunit ribosomal RNA
Source: RNAcentral
CUGGCGGCACGCCUAACACAUGCAAGUCGAACGAAGUAGCAAUACUUAGUGGCAGACGGGUGAGUAACAUGUAGGUAUCUGCCCUUUGGCCUGGAAUAACACGAGGAAACUUGUGCUAAUACCGGAUAAGUCUUUACGGAGAAAGCUUUAUGCACCAUUGGAUGAGCCUGCACUUGAUUAGUUUGUUGGUGGGGUAAUGGCCUACCAAGACUGUGAUCAAUAGCUGAUUUGAGAGGAUGAUCAGCCACAUUGGGACUGAGACACGGCCCAAACUCCUACGGGAGGCAGCAGUGGGGAAUCUUGCACAAUGGAGGAAACUCUGAUGCAGCGAUGCCGCGUGAGUGAAGAAGGCCUUUGGGUUGUAAAGCUCUUUCGUCGGGGAAGAAAAUGACUGUACCCGAAUAAGAAGGUCCGGCUAACUUCGUGCCAGCAGCCGCGGUAAUACGAAGGGACCUAGCGUAGUUCGGAAUUACUGGGCUUAAAGAGUUCGUAGGUGGUUGAAAAAGUUGGUGGUGAAAUCCCAGAGCUUAACUCUGGAACUGCCAUCAAAACUUUUCAGCUAGAGUAUGAUAGAGGAAAGCAGAAUUUCUAGUGUAGAGGUGAAAUUCGUAGAUAUUAGAAAGAAUACCAAUUGCGAAGGCAGCUUUCUGGAUCAUUACUGACACUGAGGAACGAAAGCAUGGGUAGCGAAGAGGAUUAGAUACCCUCGUAGUCCAUGCCGUAAACGAUGUGUGUUAGACGUUGGAAAUUUAUUUUCAGUGUCGCAGCGAAAGCGAUAAACACACCGCCUGGGGAGUACGACC